GAUGAACGCUGGCGGCGUGCCUAUUACAUGCAAGUCGAGCGAACCACUUCGGUGGUGAGCGGCGAACGGGUGAGUAACACGUAGGUGAUCUGCCCAUCAGACGGGGACAACGAUUGGAAACGAUCGCUAAUACCGGAUAGGACGAAAGUUUAAAGGUGCUUCUGGCACCGCUGAUGGAUGAGCCUGCGGCGCAUUAGCUAGUUGGUAGGGUAAAGGCCUACCAAGGCGACGGAUGCGUAGCCGACCUGAGAGGGUGAACGGCCACACUGGGACUGAGACACGGCCCAGACUCCUACGGGAGGCAGCAGUAGGGAAUCUUCGGCAAUGGGCGAAAGCCUGACCGAGCAACGCCGCGUGAAUGAUGAAGGCCUUCGGGUUGUAAAAUUCUGUUAUAAGGGAAGAACGACUUUAGUAGGAAAUGGCUAGAGUGUGACGGUACCUUAUGAGAAAGCCACGGCUAACUACGUG
Molecule: ribosomal RNA, 468 nt
Filed under: uncultured bacterium
Lineage: Bacteria
Description: bacterial SSU rRNA
Rfam family: Bacterial small subunit ribosomal RNA
Source: RNAcentral